CAAGUCCCAGAACGGUACACUAUUCCCGGACAGUGAUGGCAGACCAGCAGGUGUACCGCAUGGAUGAAUAAACAGCUCCAGAGAGCGGCAGAGACCAGACCAAGUCCCAGAACGACACACUAUUCCCGGACAGUGAUGGCAGAACAGCAGGUGUACCGCAUGGAUGAAUACACAGUUCCAGAGAGCGGGAGAUCCCGGCCGAUGUCCGAUGACGAAGCACUGUAUGGGACACUUUGAAGGAAGGGUCGGUCUCCUGGAUGAAAAGAACUUUAAUUUUCUGACUUAAAAUACGGAGUUAAAGUUUCCAGUCGGGACGAUAAGGAGGGCAAAAAAACCCGGACUUUUUUGGCUCCGUCAGAAACUAAGUAAAAGUCGGAAUAUGUGAAGGAAAGCUCAGAAAAUGCCUGGAGAAAUUUGAGCGGACCGGAAAAAAAAAGUUCCAGCCGACAUCACUGGGCCACCAGGUCGCAGAUUCCUGAAACCCGGUUUUUAGAAACAUAGGCCUCCAGGAGUGAGGACCGGCGUUUGUGCGGUUCGGAUCCGACUCAGACCUCAGUAUUUUCGGACACCCUCGGACAGUGGCGGGGGUGGAAGAACCGGAGCCUCAUGCAGAACUGGCUGUCGGGGAGCAAGCGGACGCUACCCCGGCAGGAGGCAUCAUUCCGGGCACUGUGGCUGAUCGGUAGCUUUCGUGGAUGGAUGACUGAGCGAACGAACGAGAUGACGGCGGUGCGUCCUGGCUGAUGUCCCAGUACGGGGCACUAUUCUCGGAUGCUGAUGGCAGAACAGCAGGUGCAGUGGACGGAUGAACACACAGUUCCAGACAGCGUGAUAUCCCAGACCAUGUCCCAGAACGGCACACUAUUCUCGGAUGCUGAUGUCAGAACAGCAGGUGUAACGCAUGGAUGAAUACAGAGUUCCAGAGAGCGGCAGAGACCAGACCAUGUCCCUGUACGGGACACUAUUCUAGGAUGCUGAUGUCAGAACAGCAGGUGCAGCGGACGGACUAAUACACAGUUCCAGAGAGCGGUAUUUCACGACAGAUAUCCGAUGAUGAAGCGCCAUUGUCGGACACUGAUGGCAGAACAGCAGGUGCACUGGAUGAAGGAAAUAAACAGAACAUAGUUCCAGAGAGCGUGAUAUCCCAGACCAAGUCCCAGAACGGCGCGCUAUUGUCGGACACUGAUGGCAGAACAGCAGGUGCACUGGAUGAAGGAAAUAAACAGAACAUAGUUCCAGAGAGCGUGAUAUCCCAGACCAAGUCCCAGAACGGCCCACUAUUCCCGGACACUCAUCUACUUAAAAUCUCCCUGAUUACCUGCCAGAACAGAGCAGAUCCAGAGAGCGGUAUUUCACGGCAGCUAUCCGAUGAUGAAGCGCUAUUGUCGGACACUGAUGGCAGAACAGCAGGUGCACUGGAUGAAGGAAAUGAACAGAACAUAGUUCCAGAGAGCGGGAUAUGCGAGACCAUGUCCCAGUACGGGACACUAUUCUCGGAUGCUGAUGUCAGAACAGCAGGUGCAGUGGAUGAAGGAAAUAAACAGAACAUAGUUCCAGAGAGCGGGAUAUCCCAGACCAUGUCCCAGUACGGGACACUAUUCUCGGAUGCUGAUGUCAGAACAGCAGGUGCAGUGGAUGAAGGAAAUAAUCAGAACAUAGUUCCAGAGAGCGGGAUAUCCCAGACCAUGUCCCAGUACGGGACACUAGUCUCGGAUGCUGAUGUCAGAACAGCAGGUGCAGUGGAUGAAGGAAAUAAACAGAACACAGUUCCAUGGAGCGGGAGAUCCCAGACCAUGUCCCAGUACGGGACACUAUUCUCGGAUGCUGAUGUCAGAACAGCAGGUGCAGUGGAUGGAUGAAUUAAACAGUUCCAGAGAGCGUGAGAUCCCGGCUGAUAUCCGAUGAAGAAGCGCUAUUGUCGGACACUGAUGGCAGAGCAGCAGGUGCAGCGGAUGGAUGAAAUAAACAGUUCCAUGGAGCGGUAUUUCCCGACAGAUAUCCGACGACGAAGGACCAUUUGGGACGCUUUGAAGGAAGGGUCGGUCUCCUGGAUGAAAAAGACUUUAAUUUUCUGACUUAAAAAAAAAGUUAAAGUUUCCAGUCGGGACGAUAAGGAGGGCAAAAAAACCCGGACUUUUUUGGCUCCGUCAGAAACUAAGUAAAAGUCGGAAUAUGUGGCGCAAAGCCCUAAAAUCCCCUGGAGAAAUUUGGACGGCCCCGAAAAAAAAAGUUCCAGCUGACAUCACUGGGCCACCAGGUCGCAGAUUUCAGAAACCUGGUUUUCGGAAACACAGGGCUCCAGGGCUGAGACCCGGGCUUCGUGGGGAGCGUUCCCCAGCUGGGCCUAAGCAUCUUCGGACAACUUUGGGCGGAAAAGCGGGUUCGGGAACCGGGAUAUGGGGCGGGUUACGCGGCGUGACCUGCCCGAGUGCAGUGCACUAUUCCCGGACACUCAUCUACUUAAAAUCUCCCUGAUUACCUGCCAGAACAGAGCAGAUCCAGAGAGCGGUAUUUCACGGCAGAUAUCCGAUGAUGAAGCGCUGUUGUCGGACACUGAUGGCAGAACAGCAGGUGCGGUGGAUGAAAUAAACAGUUCCAGAGAGCGUGAGAUCCCGGCUGAUAUCCGAUGAAGAAGCGCUAUUGUCGGACACUGAUGGCAGAACAGCAGGUGCAGUGGAUGGAUGAAUUAAACAGUUCCAGAGAGCGUGAGAUCCCGGCUGAUAUCCGAUGAAGAAGCACUGUUCUCGGACACUGAUGGCAGAACAGCAGGUGCAGUGGAUGGAUGAAGUAAACAGUUCCAUAGAGCAGGAGAUCCCAGACCAUGUCCCAGAACGACACACUAUUCUCGGAUGCUGAUGUCAGAACAGCAGGUGUAACGCAUGGAUGAAUACAGAGUUCCAGAGAGCGGCAGAACCCAGACCAUGUCCCAGUACGGGACACUAUUCUCGGAUGCUGAUGUCAGAACAGCAGGUGCAGUGGAUGGAUGAAAUAAACAGUUCCAUGGAGCGGUAUUUCCCGACAGAUAUCCGACGACGAAGGACCAUUUGGGACGCUUUGCAGGAAGGGUCGGUCUCCUGGAUGAAAAGGACUUUAAUUUUCUGACUUAAAAUCCGGAGUUAAAGUUUCCAGUCGGGACGAUAAGGAGGGCAAAAAAACCCGGACUUUUUUGGCUCCGUCAGAAACUAAGUAAAAGUCGGACUAUGUGAAGGAAAGCUCAGAAAAUGCCUGGAGAAUUUUGAUCGGACCGGAAAAAAAAAGUUGUAGCCGACAUCACUGGGCCACCAGGUCGCAGAUUUCAGAAACCUGGUUUUUAGAAACAUAGGCCUCCAGGAGUGAGGACCGACGUUUGUGCGUUUUGGAUCCGACUCAGACCUCAGUAUUUUCGGACGCCCUCGGACAGUGGCGAGGGUGAACGAACCGGAGCCUCGUUCCGGGCACUGUGGCUGGUCGGUGGGUUUCGCGGCUGGAUCGCUGAGCGAGAGAGAUGGCGGCGGGGCGGCCCGCCUCCGGUGCGCCCUGGCUUCGGCCGGGGCGCGCCGGUGGGUGAAACACUUUGAUCGAACGAGAUUGCUUGAGCGGAGGCGGGGCGGCCCGCCUCCGGUGCGCGCGCCCGCCGGCGGUGCGCCGUCCCCGGGCGCUUUGGCUUCGGCCGGGGCGCGCCGGUGGAGGAAAUGCUUUACGUGAAAAUUCUGACCGAUUUGCAACCGUGACCCGCCACCCGGGGGCCCCCGCCAGAUGGGCGGAGGGUUCCCCGGAACGCGGGUCUGCCUCUAUGCCCGGGUGGGUUGGUGCGCGCGCUGGGUUCGGCCCCCGAUGGCCCUGCGCUUCUCCCCGGGCGCCCGAUUUGUAGCGAGUCCGAGACGGCCCGUCUGCCC
Gasterosteus aculeatus aculeatus (three-spined stickleback) is the source of this 3875-nucleotide long non-coding RNA. Lineage: Eukaryota; Metazoa; Chordata; Actinopteri; Perciformes; Gasterosteidae. The record is from Ensembl.